GGCGGCGUGCCUAAUACAUGCAAGUAGAACGCUGAAGGAGGAGCUUGCUUCUCUGGAUGAGUUGCGAACGGGUGAGUAACGCGUAGGUAACCUACCUGGUAGCGGGGGAUAACUAUUGGAAACGAUAGCUAAUACCGCAUAAGAGUAGAUGUCGCAUGACAUUUGCUUGAAAGGUGCAAUUGCAUCACUACCAGAUGGACCUGCGUUGUAUUAGCUAGUUGGUGAGGUAACGGCUCACCAAGGCAACGAUACAUAGCCGACCUGAGAGGGUGAUCGGCCACACUGGGACUGAGACACGGCCCAGACUCCUACGGGAGGCAGCAGUAGGGAAUCUUCGGCAAUGGACGGAAGUCUGACCGAGCAACGCCGCGUGAGUGAAGAAGGUUUUCGGAUCGUAAAGCUCUGUUGUAAGAGAAGAAACGAGUGUGAGAGUGGAAAG
This 439-nucleotide ribosomal RNA is filed under the name Streptococcus mitis. RNAcentral describes it as "bacterial SSU rRNA". It matches the Rfam family "Bacterial small subunit ribosomal RNA", at positions 38 to 471 of the family's 1533-position model. Lineage: Bacteria; Bacillati; Bacillota; Bacilli; Lactobacillales; Streptococcaceae. The record is from RNAcentral.